UGGAUCGAUGCUGACUACUGGUGGCGUACGAGUUGCAUACGAUGACUACGUAUCUGGACCUCUGAGGUCCAA
Small nucleolar RNA from Equus asinus (donkey), 72 nucleotides. NCBI's taxonomy places the organism in Eukaryota, Metazoa, Chordata, Mammalia, Perissodactyla, Equidae. The record is from Ensembl.